CAUCCAUAUUAAGAGGGUAAGAAAAUAUUUCAUAUUAAUAUGUAACAUCCAUUAAUUGUUAAGGUUAAAAUUAUAUUUUUACCUAAGAAUGAAAUAAUAUGAUUUAUUAAAUUGAUGAUGUGUCUAUCUGACAUGACAUGCCACAUAUGUUUAAUAGAAAAUGACAUACUACUACCAUAAACAUUAGCAAAACACAAAAAACCUAGCUUUCAAAAUAUUUAGACAAAAAUGACAUAGAGCCCAGACCCAAAACACAUGGAGGAGGCUUNNNNNNNNNNNNNNNNNNNNGCAGAAUCAUAUGGAUGUUGACCCAAGAAAUUAAACGAGAUUGAGAUUGGGAUAGCCGUCUAUGAAGAUGGAUGCAAAUUGAUAUAUGAAUCUUGGGUAUUGCCCACGAAAUUGAACGAGCUUUCGAUCCUCGUUGAUCUGCACCACCCGUGUGUAGGCUAUUCAUAGUGCUCGACUCUACGAGGUCACCAAGAAGAAGAUGUGAUUCACCAUCUAUGAAGAUGGAUGCAGAUUGGGCCAUGCAUGCCUUGGGUUAGUGCUCCUAAUUAAGGUCAUGGGCUAGAGCCUUUUGGACUUGUUGGUGGGUGGUGGGUAAGAGAGGAGUAUGGGGUUUGUCUGAUGUGUUUCUAUAAAAAAAAUAGAGUUCAAGCACUUGAGGGUUUUGAGGUAGCAGAAGCAGUAGCAAGAUUCAAUGAGUAUGAGUGCAGUAAGUACAGUUGCAGAAUCAAUUUAGUGACAACAGUAGUAUAGGUUAUCUUCAGCAAGUGUAGUAGCAGCUAAGUUUCCAGCAAGUGCAGUAGUAGCUAAAUUUCCAACAAGUGCAGCAGCAGCUAACUCCAACAAGUACAACAGUAGCUAACUCCAACAAGUACAGCAGUAGCUAACUCCAGCAAGAGCAGUAGCAGCUAAACCAAGACAUGGUUAGAGAAGUAGUAGUAACGGGAUAAGUAGUAGCAAUCGACAAUAGCAGCGAGAUGAGUAGUAGUAAUCGGCAGUAGCAACACGAUUGUGAACAGUUGGUAGUAGCAGCACAUUUAUAAACAGUCGGUAGUAGCAGUGCGUUAGUAAAAAAUAGCACAACAAGAGCACAUCGAGUGUAGUAGCAAAAAAAACAAAACGAGUAUGAGUGCUCUACAUUAGCAAAGACCAUGACGAGUGAUGUAAUAGAACCGAACAAUAGCAUAAUUCAUAAAUGAACUUUCCUUAUCAAUAAUUCAUAAAUGAGCUUUCCCUAUCAAUAGUAGCAGUCAUAAAUGAAUUUUUCUGUCAAUACUGCAUUUACUGAAACUGCUACUACACUAGCCAAACCAAUAAAAACUUGCUACUACAACACACUGAAAAUAGCUGCUAUUACUGAGCCACUAAAAACCUGCUACCGCACUUACUGUAGCUGCUACUACACUAGCUGAACCAUUAAAACUUUGCUACUACAUUUGUUGGAAGUGCGUGUUAUUGCUACUGCAACACGCACUGAAAAUAGCUGCUACUACAUUUGUUGAGCCGCUAAAAAUCUGCUACUGCACUUACUGAAGCUGCUACUACACUAGUUGAAUCAUUAAAACUCUGCUAUUACAUUUGUUGGAAGUGCAUGUUGUACUGAAAAUAGCUGCUACUACAUUUGUUGAGCCGCUAAAAAUCUGCUACUGCACUUACUGAAGCUGCUACUACACUAGUUGAACCAUUAAAACUCUGCUAUUACAUUUGUUGGAAGUGCAUGUUGUACUGAAAAUAGCUGCUACUACAUUUGCUGAGCCACUAAAAACUUGCUACUAGACCUGUAAAUGGACCGGAUCUGGAGCGGAUCGACCUAGAUCCGGAUCCGGAUCCGUAAUAGAAAUUUUAGAUCCGAAUCCGACCCGUUACCCGUCGGAUCUUUAAUAGCUAGAUCCAAAUCCGGAUCCAGCGGGUUAACGGAUACCCGACCCGUUAAUCCGAUCCGUUUAUAAUAAUAAAUAUUUUCAAAUUUUAAAUAAUAAUUUUUUAAUUUUAUCAUAAAUUUUCAUAAAACACUAAUGAAAUAUUAUAACAAAAUAAAUGUUUACAUUAAAAAUUGAAUUAUAUGACCAAAAUACUUCUUAACAAUAAACUAAUAUAUUCAAAAUACUAGACCUCCAAUGUAUUUAUUAGCAAAGAGUAUAAAAAAAAUAUACGCAUAAGUAAUCUUCAACUUCAUCAAAUGAUCAUACUUUAGAUGCAAUUUAGACGUUUAGGUUAUCCAAAUAAUUAUUAUAUUAUUGAAUAUUUAUCAAUAAUAUUAUAUUUAUAAAAAUAUUAUUUAAUUAUUUUAAAACGGAUCCGGGUCCUUAACGGACCGGAUCAACCUCGAUCCGUAUCCGAUCCGUUUAAUAAACGGGUUAACGGAUCCGGGUCCUUAGUGGAUCAACAUGUCUAAUUUUCGAUCCAAACCCGUUUAAAAACCACGGAUCCGGAGCGGGUCCGGAUCAAGAUCCGGUCCAUUUACAGGUCUACUUGCUACUGCACUUACUGAAACUGCUGCUACUACAUUUGUUGGAAGUGCGUGUUGCUACUACAACACGCACUGAAAAUAGCUGUUGCACAUUUGCUGAGCCACUAAAAAUCUGCUAUUGCACUUACUGAAGCUGCUACUACACUAGCUGAACCAUUAAAACCCUGCUACUACAUUUGUUGAAAGUGUAGUAGCAAUUAACUCUCCAGUAAAUUAAACAUGCUACUACAUUAGUUGAGCCACUAAAAACCUGAUACUGUAGUUACUGAAGCUGCUACUGCAUUUAUUGGAAGUGUAGUAGCAACACCAACAUUCCAGGAACAGCAAGUGCAGUAGCAGCUAAAACAAUAUAUGGUGGGGUCUGAUUUAAUUUGAUUUAUUUUAAGGUCAGUUUAAUAAAUUAAACCAUAAUGCAUGGUAAACAGAAAAUAAUUUUUCCUUAUUUGUUAAAAAUUGUCCUAGUUAGUUUAAUAACAACACAACUGAAUUUAUUUGUGUUUCAAAUUCUUUUGGAGGAUGUAUAUGUGAUUUGUUUUAUGUUUAAAGCCAUAAAUCUUAGGCUUUGUUAAGGCUCUCUAACGCUACUCAUAUAUAAAGGAAUUACGAGACAUUUACAUAUAUAUCGUCCUUUCUUUAUUGGUGUCGUUAUGCACUUGAGCUUUGAUACUUGUUAUCCGUCGAUAUGAUAAUGACCUAUUUUAGU
This 3179-nucleotide long non-coding RNA is filed under the name Fragaria vesca (wild strawberry). RNAcentral's name for it is "long non-coding RNA (FVES_LNC002114)". The record is from RNAcentral. Lineage: Eukaryota; Viridiplantae; Streptophyta; Magnoliopsida; Rosales; Rosaceae.